AUCUAUUUAAUUCUGGUUGUAGAAGGGAGAUAAGCAGCACCACAUAAAAGUAGUUUGUGUGUGUACAUAAGAUAGGCUUUCUUGUGUGAUUAGUGGUUAAAUCUUAGGUUUCGGGGAAACCCGGAUUAGGCUGUUUAUUAGGGAGCGGUGAAUACACAGUGCCAGCAUCCGCGGUUAUUCUGUUAGCUUUUUCUUCGGCGAUAGGUGUAAAUUAGAUAGAAAUUAUUAUCUAGUUUUGAGUAGAAUCUUACUAGUCUUGAGAUGAGUUUCUAGAAGGUUUGACUGUUGUAUUUAUUAAUGGGAUUAGAUACCCCUGUAAUAGGAUUUAAGUUUUACUCCUUAGUAUAAACUAAAAGGAUUUGGCAGCCGAUGAGGUUCUUCCGGGGGAACGUGUGCUGUAAAAGAUAGUCCGCUUAUGAGUUAACCUUUUUUUAGUUUAGUUAGUGUAUAUCCGAUUUAAAAUUUGUGGUUGGUAUCAAUGAGUGUCACGGAUUGUUUAAGUCAGGUCUAUGUGCUGCUUAUAUUAAGGUGUGUUCAUGCGUUACGUUAUUAAAUGUGCUGUUCAGGAUAGUAUCAGUAGUGUUUAGGACUCGGAAGUAGGCUUUCAAAGAUAGUAUUUUUGGUCGAAGUUGAUUUAGUUGGGGUACACACCGCCCGUCACCCAGGGCGUUAGCUGUGGUAAGUCGUAACAUGGUAAUGCUAGGGGAACCUGGUGUUAGUUGAUUCCGCAUUUGGCUGGGGUUU
RNAcentral lists this ribosomal RNA (744 nucleotides) under Artyfechinostomum malayanum. RNAcentral describes it as "12S ribosomal RNA". Lineage: Eukaryota; Metazoa; Platyhelminthes; Trematoda; Plagiorchiida; Echinostomatidae. The record is from RNAcentral.